UACGAAGGGGGCUAGCGUUGCUCGGAAUCACUGGGCGUAAAGGGUGCGUAGGCGGGUUUUUAAGUCAGGGGUGAAAUCCUGGAGCUCAACUCCAGAACUGCCUUUGAUACUGAAGAUCUCGAGUCCGGGAGAGGUGAGUGGAACUGCGAGUGUAGAGGUGAAAUUCGUAGGUAUUCGCAAGAACACCAGUGGCGAAGGCGGCUCACUGGCCCGGUACUGACGCUGAGGCACGAAAGCGUGGGGAGCAAACAGG
RNAcentral lists this ribosomal RNA (253 nucleotides) under uncultured bacterium. Its description in RNAcentral is "partial 16S ribosomal RNA". It matches the Rfam family "Bacterial small subunit ribosomal RNA", at positions 524 to 776 of the family's 1533-position model. The record is from RNAcentral.